GCUAGAGUGACUAUGCAACCACAAGACAAAGUAGACUUUGUACAGAGAAGAUUAGCAUGGCCCCUGUGCAAGGAUGACACAAAUUCGUGAGGCGUUCCAUAUUUUA
This 106-nucleotide small nuclear RNA is filed under the name Carlito syrichta (Philippine tarsier). The record is from RNAcentral. Lineage: Eukaryota; Metazoa; Chordata; Mammalia; Primates; Tarsiidae.